This 442-nucleotide ribosomal RNA is filed under the name uncultured microorganism. RNAcentral's name for it is "bacterial SSU rRNA". It matches the Rfam family "Bacterial small subunit ribosomal RNA", at positions 9 to 440 of the family's 1533-position model. The record is from RNAcentral.
GAGUUUGAUCGUGGCUCAGGAUGAACGCUGGCGGCGUGCUUAACACAUGCAAGUCGAACGAGGAAUUUUAAAUGAGACUUCGGUGGAUUUUAAAAUUCUUAGUGGCGGACGGGUGAGUAACGCGUGGGCAACCUGCCCUGUACAGGGGGGACAACAGCUGGAAACGGCUGCUAAUACCGCAUAAGACCACGGAGCCGCAUGGCUCAGUGGGAAAAACUCCGGUGGUACAGGAUGGGCCCGCGUUGGAUUAGGUAGUUGGUGAGGUAACGGCCCACCAAGCCGACGAUCCAUAGCCGACCUGAGAGGGUGACCGGCCACGUUGGGACUGAGACACGGCCCAAACUCCUACGGGAGGCAGCAGUGGGAAUCUUCCGCAAUGGGCGAAAGCCUGACGGAGCAACGCCGCGUGAGUGAGAAUAUUUCGUAUGUAAGCUCUAUCAGC